This 536-nucleotide small RNA is filed under the name Pongo abelii (Sumatran orangutan). Its description in RNAcentral is "retained intron". Lineage: Eukaryota; Metazoa; Chordata; Mammalia; Primates; Hominidae. The record is from RNAcentral.
GGUUUCACCAUGUUGGCCAGGCUGCUCUGGAACUCCUGACCUCUGCCCACCUUGGCCUCCCGAAGUGCUGAGAUUACAGGCGUGAGCCACUGUGCCCGGCCUUUCUGAUGAUAUUCUUAUACAUGUCUCUUGGUACACAUAUAGAAAUUUUCCCUAGCGUAUGGACUUACUGGAUCACAGGAUAUGCACACCUUCAACUUUAUUAGGUAUUGUCCAGUUUUCCCAAGCAUUUGGACUGAUUUAUACUUCCACCAUCAGUGCAAGUGUCUUCUCCACAAAGGGGCUCCUUCUUGCUUCCUCCUAGUAUAAGUAGCUGUUAUGCCACUUAUGAAGAAAUGUUUGUUAGACAAAUGAAUCACAGUCACUAGACUGGGAUAAUUUCCUGUCUUAAAAUUCUUCUCUCUUGGUUUUUCUUUCUUUUCUAUAUUGUAGAAGAACCCAGCAAGUCCCUAUAACCUUGCAUAUAAGUAUAAUUUUGAAUAUUCCGUGGUUUUCAACAUGGUACUUUGGAUAAUGAUCGCCUUGGCCUUGGCUGU